CCUACGGGAGGCAGCAGUAGGGAAUAUUGCUCAAUGGGGGAAACCCUGAAGCAGCAACGCCGCGUGGAGGAUGAAGGUUUUCGGAUUGUAAACUCCUUUUGUCAGAGAAGAUAAUGACGGUAUCUAACGAAUAAGCACCGGCUAACUCCGUGCCAGCAGCCGCGGUAAUACGGAGGGUGCAAGCGUUACUCGGGAUCACUGGGCGUAAAGAGCGCGUAGGCGGGAUAGCAAGUCAGAUGUGAAAUCCUAUGGCUUAACCAUAGAACCGCAUAUGAAACUGUUAUUCUAGAGUAUGGGAGAGGUAAGUGGAAUUAUAGGUGUAGGGGUAAAAUGCGUAGAGAUCAAGAGGAAUACUCAUUGCGAAGGCGACCUGCUGGAACAUAACUGACGCUGAUGCGCGAAAGCGUGGGGAGCAAACAGGAUUAGAUACCCUUGUAGUC
Molecule: ribosomal RNA, 440 nt
Filed under: uncultured bacterium
Lineage: Bacteria
Description: partial 16S ribosomal RNA
Rfam family: Bacterial small subunit ribosomal RNA
Source: RNAcentral